ACGGAGGGUGCAAGCGUUGUCCGGAUUUAUUGGGUUUAAAGGGUGCGUAGGCGGGCAAGUAAGUCAGUGGUGAAAUCCUGCGGCUCAACCGUAGAAUUGCCAUUGAAACUACUAGUCUUGAAUACAUCUGAGGUAGCUGGAAUGCGUAGUGUAGCGGUGAAAUGCAUAGAUAUUACGCAGAACACCAAUUGCGAAGGCAGGUUACUAAGGUGUUAUUGACGCUGAUGCACGAAAGCGUGGGGAGCGAACAGG
This 252-nucleotide ribosomal RNA is filed under the name uncultured bacterium. RNAcentral's name for it is "partial 16S ribosomal RNA". It matches the Rfam family "Bacterial small subunit ribosomal RNA", at positions 525 to 776 of the family's 1533-position model. The record is from RNAcentral.